This 3547-nucleotide long non-coding RNA is filed under the name Equus asinus (donkey). Its description in RNAcentral is "lncRNA (ENSEASG00005033031.1)". The record is from RNAcentral. Lineage: Eukaryota; Metazoa; Chordata; Mammalia; Perissodactyla; Equidae.
AAGACUUCGAUUGGCUAGGCCUCAGUCACGUGCUCAUCUCUGGACCAAUCACUGCAAGAGCAUGGGAGGGGCACCGUGACUGGUCAGGCCCAGGUCACGUGCGCAGCCCAGUGGUCAGAAGGGAGGUGAGAGGGAUGGACAGCCCCACCAGAACCACCAGGAGAAGGGCAGUUCCUCAAAGGAAGGAAAACUGGGCGGAUAAAAGCAACAGAUGUCCAGUCUUGCUAUUUUCUGACAUUCAGUGAGAUAGAUGUGAUCAUCCCCAUUUUAUAAUGAGGAGCUGAGGCCCGGAGGGUAAGGUGUCCUGUCCAAGGUUCCAUGGUCUAUGAGUGAUAGCAACGUGAGACCUGAGAGUCUAGGUCACAAAGCCGGCCACGUCCGUCUUCCCCCGUCACUGCGUCUCCUGAGGGUGGAGCGAGGUCCAGAGGGCCCUGGAGAGCCCGUCGGACGGCAGACAAUCCACAGACGAUUCUAUGCACGUGAUGAGUUCUGCGAACAGGUGUGAACAGGGACAGAAAGGAAGCAGCCUUGGCGGGAAAUUCCUCUUGUACCGGACGCCACAGAAGGGCAUUCACAUCCCUUGUCUCAAGGGCGGCUCACCACACCCCUGCCAGGUGGCUGUUGUGAUCCCGUUUCAGUGACGAGUGAGGCUGAGCCUCAGAGAGUUUCCAUGAUACCCCCAGGUCACACAGCCAGACGGCGGGGAGCUGGCAGCCAGCUCCAGCUCUGACGUGCACUUUAGAAAGGUCGCUCUCACUGUCAUGUGAAAGAAGGACUUGGUAAGACAGAGAAAAGCAGAGAGACUCAAAUGAUCUUCACAAGGGGGCCAAGAGCAUUCAGUGGGGGAAAGGGCUGUCUUUUCAAUGAGUGGUGCUGGGAAAACCGGAUCUCCACAUGUGAAAGAAGGAAGUUAGUCCCUACCUCACGCCGUACACGAAACUUCACUCAAAAUGGAUCAGGGACCUAAGUGUAAGGCCUAAAACAGUAAAACUCUUAGAAGAAAACACAGGACCAAAGAUUCAUGAUGCUGGAUUUGGUGAUGAUUCCUUGCAUAAGACUCCAAAGGGACAGGUAACAAAAGGAAAAAUAGACAAAUUGGACUUCAUGAAAAUUUAAAAAUUUUGUGCAUUAAAAAUUACUGUCAACAGAGUAAAAAGGUAACUCCCAGAAUGGGAGAAAAUAUUUACAAAUCAUAUAUCUGAUAAGGAAUUAAUAUCCAGAACAUACAGAGAAGUAAAACUCAACAACAACAAAAAACCCAAAUCAAAAAUGGGCAAAUGACUUGAAUUGACAUUUUUCUAAAGAAGACAUACAAAUGGCCGAUAAGCACAUGAGAGAUGAUCAACACCACUGAUCAUGAGGGAGAUGCAAAUCAAAACCGCAGUGAGUACCACCUCACACCCAUCAGGAUGGCUGUUAUAUUAAAAAGCAAACAAAUGGAAAAUAAGAAGUGUUGGUGAGGAUGUGGACAGACUGGAACCCUCGUGCACCUUUGGUGGGAAUGGAAAAAGGUGCAGCUGCUGUGGAAAACCGUGUGGUGGUUCCUCAAAAAGUUAAAAAUAGAGUUACUAUAUGACCCAGAAAUUCCACCUCUGGGUAUACACCCAGAAGAACGGAAAACAGUCUCGAACAGAUAUUUGCACACCCAUGCGCACAGCAGCAUUAUUCACAACAGCCAAAAUGCGGAAGUAACCCAAGUGCCCGUCAACAGAUGAGCGGAUAAACAAAAUGGGGCACAUCCAUACCAUGGAAUAUUAUUCGGCCCUAAAAAGGAGGGGAAUUCUGACACGUGCCACAACACAGAUGAGCCCUGAGGACAUUAGGCUGAGUGAAUGUACACAUAGAGACACAACAGAGUGUGAUGGAUUCACGGAUCUGGAGCCCCACAGCAGGAUGCAGAAACGUAGCUGGGCGUCAUCGACAUGCAGGUGACCACAAGGGCACGAUCUGCACGAGCUUGCUCAUGGAGGCUUUGAGGAGAGAAGAGGACUGAGUUCCUCGGUCAUGCAGCUCAAGGCAGAGGAGGAGGCCGCUCCGGGGAGGCUGCGGGGCCGGUCUCCGCCCUGCCUGUCUUGAGUCGCCCUCCUUCCCUGGUGACCUCCAGCUGCUGUAAAUACGUCUGCAUCGGGACAACUCCACGCCGCGUCUCCAGUCUGGAUCCUUCCCCUUGCUCCAGCCUCAUCCUCCAACUGGAUGCCUGACACCUCCCUGUCCAACACGCUUCUCCACCGAAAUGUCCAGAACGGAAGCCUUGAUUCCUCACCUGCAGACCCUCUCCUCCCACGGUCAGCCCUCUCCUGGGUGAAUGGCGCUUCCAGCCGCCAAGUCGCUGAGAAUGAAACUGGCACCCUCCUUGACUCCUUUAGCAAAUCCUGCAGACUCUACGAAAUACAUCUUGGGUCCGGUCACUUCUCGCCUCCUCCACCAUCACCUCCCUGGUCCAAGCCUCCGCCCCCUCUCGCCUGGACAGGGGAGUGGCCCCGCAGGGUCCCCCGGCUUCGGUCCUGUCCCACGAGGGUCUAUUCGUCACACGGCCACCAGAGGGCGCCCUCUAGAUUCGGAUCUCGCGGUUUCCCACUCACAGCGUCAAUGGAAACUCGGUAGCGGCGCCCCCAGGUCCUGCCGCCCCUCUUCCCGGGGUGCUUCCUUCGAGCCCCACAGGCCCUCUGGCUGCCCUGACGCGCCCCGAGCUCCUCCUGCCUUUGCCCUCGGCAGGCGCCCACCUGCAUGUUCUUCCCCAUCUUUCAGAGCUGGGUCUGCCCUUCCCCUCCCUUCUCCAUCCUUCUCUUCUGUCACCCUCCUUUGCUAUUUUUUCAUGGCACUUUCACCAGUCGUCUUAGCGUUAUAUUCGUUAUCUUGUUUAUCGUCUGUGUCCCCACUGGGAUGUGAGCUCUCUGGGGGCAGGGACGUCGCUCUCCCACUGUCAUUUCCCCAGGGCGAGUUGAAUGGUGACGAGUGCACAGGGGACUUGCAGGCAGGAGGCCAUCGUCCCUCCCCGGGUCUGGGCCCCACGGUAGGUGUCUUCCCCUCCCUGCUCAGCAUCAGAAGCCCCGGCCCACACAGCAUCGGAGCAGGCAGAGCUGGAGGACUGACUCAUGGCCAGAGCACAGGAGGAGGGCGGGAGGAAGGGGCUCCAUGGAGGAGGGAGAGUCAAACCCGAGACCCGCCCACUGGAGGAGAUGGGGGAUCCAGUGGAUGGAGUGGAGAGCUGCCCCGAGACUCCAGGCCUCUGUCACGAGAGCAAAGGCGUGUCCGUAUCUUGGCUUGUUCUGUGCAGUCCGCGUGUGUGCCUGAGGGCUGGCAGGCCGGCAGAGGCUGGGGUCUCCGCUCCUGCCCUUCCGUGAUAGGGUAGGGACUGGGUCAAGGAGUAGGGAGGUGAGUGGUGGGUGCUGGGGGCUCUGGUGAGGGAUGCCGGAUGCUGAGUCUUGGAGGAGAAAUAGGAUCUGGUCAGGCAGGAGGGGGCGGACAGGGACUUCCAGGCGGAGGGCACGCAGGUGCAAGGACACACUGAGUGUAGCUUUGAAGACCUUCCAGGGGUCUGGCCUGG